AAUAGAUACCCGGUAGUCCACGCCGUAAACGAUGAGUGCUAAGUGUUAGGGGGUUUCCGCCCCUUAGUGCUGGCAGCUAACGCAUUAAGCACUCCGCCUGGGGAGUACGGUCGCAAGACUGAAACUCAAAGGAAUUGACGGGGGCCCGCACAAGCGGUGGAGCAUGUGGUUUAAUUCGAAGCAACGCGAAGAACCUUACCAGGUCUUGACAUCCCAUUGACCACUAUGGAGACAUAGUUUUCCCUUCGGGGACAACGGUGACAGGUGGUGCAUGGUUGUCGUCAGCUCGUGUCGUGAGAUGUUGGGUUAAGUCCCGCAACGAGCGCAACCCUUGUUCUUAGUUGCCAUCAUUUAGUUGGGCACUCUAAGGAGACUGCCGGUGACAAACCGGAGGAAGGUGGGGAUGACGUCAAAUCAUCAUGCCCCUUAUGACCUGGGCUACACACGUGCUACAAUGGACGGUACAAACGGUUGCCAACCCGCGAGGGGAGCUAAUCCGAUAAAACCGUUCUCAGUUCGGAUUGUAGGCUGCAACUCGCCUACAUGAAGCC
RNAcentral lists this ribosomal RNA (551 nucleotides) under uncultured bacterium. RNAcentral's name for it is "bacterial SSU rRNA". It matches the Rfam family "Bacterial small subunit ribosomal RNA", at positions 777 to 1327 of the family's 1533-position model. The record is from RNAcentral.